This 1195-nucleotide long non-coding RNA is filed under the name Durio zibethinus. RNAcentral describes it as "long non-coding RNA (DZIB_LNC001512)". Lineage: Eukaryota; Viridiplantae; Streptophyta; Magnoliopsida; Malvales; Malvaceae. The record is from RNAcentral.
AAAUAAUAAGUUCCACAAAAGGAAAAUUAAAAGUACCACCCGAAGUUUCUUUUUCAAGUGCUUGGUGAAGUAUGAUUGCUGUCCCACUUUUGUUUUUUAAUAUAAAUAAAUAUAUAUAUAUAUUUUUUUCUCUCCCAUUCAUAAUUUUCACUUCUCAGGUUCCACUAGAAAGAAAAAAAAACACAAUAAUUAAAUGAGGAAAAAGAAAAUGGAAGGAAAAUUUAAAGAUAAGACAAAAAAGGUGCUGGGCCCACUGUGGAAAAAUUAUUAAUACUGGUAUUCAUUUUGUGGUGGUUGCUUUCAUAGGUUUGGCAGACAUUGCAUUUCUUCAUAUGUUGGAUUAGAAAAGGGCAAAUGGGGGCAGAAGCAUCAAAGGCUGCUUCCCCUUUUUCUUUUUUUUUUUUAUGCACAUGAGAUCACAAAAAAAAAAAAAAUGAAGUGUUAGAGUUUAAAUUUCAAAGGUUUUGAAUGUUAGAUGGCUUCCAUCAUUUUGUUGGGACCAUUGGAUUCAAAUAAUUUAUUAACUUCGUAUUUAUAUGAAUGAAAUUCAUCAUUUUCUUCUUACAUAAGACAAGCAUGUUCUUGUUCCAUAGUAAACAUUUUUCAUGUUUCUAUCAUGACUAAAACAAUAAACUUUAUGUAUGGUGGGUUUGUUAGGAAAAAAAAAAAUAAAGAGAAGUAAUUAUUUCCUCUCAUUUGAUAGAGGAAAAAGGAUGCAGGGAAAGAGGAAAAUUGGUUAGAUUUACAAAUCAAUCCUUUUUCAUAAAUGAAGAACAAAAGAAAAAAAAAUUGGUUCCAUUCUUAGAUAUUUUCUUUGUAAUAAGACAAAUAUAUGGGCUUGAGUUUAGCAACAUAAAAGUUGAGUUGGAUUGGUCUUAGCAUGAGCAAACCCAAUUAUCAUGAGAAUAGCCCAAUGCUGGAGUAUUUUCUAAUGCAGAUAGAAAUAAUGGGUUGAACCUCCAUUGUUGAUUUGCCAUGGCUUUAGCUUGGGAAAAACCCAAUUAGCCAUUACACGACAUGAUGAACCGUCAAUCUUCUCAGCACCUUCAACUUGAUCAAGCUUCAAAAGUGCACUUAUCAUAGUCACAUACCCCACUCCUUGUUAUAGUUUAUGCCCAUUUCCUUGUAAAGAUUCCACAUGCGGUACUUCUCAUCUUUUUCACCAAUUUCAGCGUUUAUUUUCGAAAUCGAAUUC